RNAcentral lists this small RNA (68 nucleotides) under Mycobacterium pseudokansasii. RNAcentral describes it as "ASdes TB sRNA". It matches the Rfam family "ASdes TB sRNA". The record is from Rfam by way of RNAcentral. Lineage: Bacteria; Bacillati; Actinomycetota; Actinomycetes; Mycobacteriales; Mycobacteriaceae.
UUGGCAACCGGAUCCACCUCGCGGGUCACCACGAGGUAUUCGCGCAGCGCAAUGGCAUGCAGGUGCUC